This 290-nucleotide ribosomal RNA is filed under the name uncultured prokaryote. RNAcentral's name for it is "partial 16S ribosomal RNA". It matches the Rfam family "Bacterial small subunit ribosomal RNA", at positions 355 to 636 of the family's 1533-position model. The record is from RNAcentral.
UCGAGAAUCUUUCGCAAUGGGGGAAACCCUGACGACGCGACGCCGCGUGGAGGAUGAAGGCCUUCGGGUUGUAAACUCCUGUCAGCAGGGGAGAACAAGCUUUUGAUGAAUAAUUGAGAGCUUUGACAGUACCUGCAGAGGAAGCCACGGCUAACUCUGUGCCAGCAGCCGCGGUAAUACAGAGGUGGCCAGCGUUGUUCGGAUUUAUUGGGCGUAAAGGGGCCGUAGGCGGCCUGAAAAGUUGGAUGUGAAAUCCCACAGCUUAACUGUGGAACUGCAUUCAAAACUCU